RNAcentral lists this long non-coding RNA (432 nucleotides) under Fukomys damarensis (Damara mole-rat). RNAcentral's name for it is "lncRNA (ENSFDAG00000023043.1)". The record is from RNAcentral. Lineage: Eukaryota; Metazoa; Chordata; Mammalia; Rodentia; Bathyergidae.
CGCUGCUGACAGGAGUAAGGCAUGUCUCAGAAACUCUGCCCCGAGGAAGAGGGGUUACCCUGAGCACUUCCAGCUCUUCCGGGACAGUGGAUGUGCUCCUGGUUCCCCAGCCCGCCGGGGCAGUCAGGCCCUUGGCCGUAAAGCUGUGGACUCCUACCCACUUCUGGGACUCUCCAGAACGAGCUCACAGAGCUGGUAGCUUUCUUAAAUCCUGACUGAGAGACAAGGUACCUCUGAUCUGCAGAUCAAGCCCUGACUGUUUCUCUGGUUCAUCUCCUGGCACCGCCCUCUCCUCCAGCCCUCGCUGCUCCUGAAUCCGUACUCCGUGGGUAAUAACUUGCAGUUUCUGGAAAAUACCACCUACUUCAGGUCUGUCGCUCGUUUGACUUGGAGGGCUUCAGGCACCUUUUCCUCCAGGAAGCCUCUCCUGCC